AACUCGGAUGAUGAAUAUUGUUCCAGUGUCAUUUAUUUUAAAUGAGAGUUGUCUAAUUUAAACCAUCAAAGAGAUUAAUAUUUUAAAUAAAAGUAGAUAUUUUGCUACAAUGAUUGAUUGUUUAUUUAAUAGAUAAUUCGAACUGAACGGGUUGCCGAUCCCUGUCGAGCAGUAACAACAGAUCGUUUUGUUUACGAGGCACUGCUCCACAUGCUAGAAAGAAUUAUGCGACAAGCAAAAGUAAGAAAGAGAAACCCAACUUCAUGUGUACCACAGCAAGGUGGAACCUAGUAUGACAACCAGAAACAGUACCGUCAGUGCACGAAGAAACUUUGAAGUGUACGGAAAAACAAACACCAUCACAGCAUCUUUCCACGAAAACAUCGACAGUGGUAAAAAACGUUCACCUCACCUUUUUCACCGCUUCGUUUUUCAUCGUUUUCCAUGCACCGUUUAUGUACAGGCAUAAUAAGGGAGGAGUUUGGACAGGGUUUUCAUUCGAAAAAGGGAACAAAUUUGGACUUACGACAUUAGGAGGUACGGGUCACAGAUUCGACUGUCAGAUGAAUAUUCUUUCCUAUCGUUAGAUACUGCCAACGUGAAUAUACUCAAGCAGCAGCAAAUGUACAAACAUUACAGUGACGUGGCCUCAAUGUCGAGAGAUUGGAAAUUGUGUCAACGAAAGUGGUUAAGGUGCUGAUGUUUUGUGUUUGAAGGGACAUAGUGACUUUUAGCCCAUGAACGGUUGAUAAGGAAAUCAGUAAUACAAAUGAAACCAAAUGAAAACCCGACGGCAGUUUGUUGUUGUUGAAAAUGUUUCCGUGAUGUAAAACAAAUAAUGAUUUUUCACUAACGGUUUUGUGCGACCGAAUUAAAAUGUUCUCUUGAUUUGUUUGUUGCAAUCCUUUCUUUUAGUAUUUUGAAGAUAUCGGGAUUAUGGGGACGGCGACUGCCACUUAUACCAUACAAUUUUGCAGGAAUUUUUAUACAUUUUGAACGGUCAAACACCAGAUGCAUUACAAUGUGAAUUUAUAUUUAUAAAUUUAGUUUUCCUAGUAAAGUUGUAGUUGUAGAGGAAUAGCAGAUGACAAAUGCAUUAAAAAAUGACAGUCCAAAAGCAUUUGUAAUGUGUUUUGUUGCAAUUCGUUUCUUGUUUACAUAGUCAUAAUGAAAUCUAGAUUUUUUUUCGGAUAGUUCGGGUAAAGUGUUUUGAUUUCAAUUGAAGAAUUGAAUUGAGCAAAUACGUUCGACGAUCAAUGUAAAGCGUUUAGAUAAUGAACAAAACAACAGUUUAAGAAUGAACUGAAUGGAAAACUAAAAGUAAUGUUGCAGUAUACCUUCACGUGUCCCAUACCUUAAUUAUCAGCAUUAACCCGACGGCGAAAACUGUACAAAAAUCCUAACAUAUUCAUAAUCUGAUUACUUUCCCCAAAUGUCAAUAUUUAAUUAGCUCAAAGAAAGCCGAUCUCACCCAAUACAAACAAUUUUGAUCCAUAAUCCCGACACGUGUUUGUUAUGUUGACGCCUGUCAUAUUUUGGCUAAGGAGAAUUCCAAGGACAACAAACCAUUCUGAUUUUCUUGGCAAAUAAAAUAAUAGCUUUUCAAUCACACCGCUUGCCCACCAAACGAUAACAAUCUGAAUGAAACAUGAGCAACAGAGUCAUCACAUUGGCCCCGAGCCAUUGCCUUCUAGCGGGGUCGAUUCGAGCUAGUGAAAUCGGACAAAUCAUGCCGACCAGUAAAGAGCAGCGUUUGAACUAGAAAAUGAUAAAAAAGUAUUCCCCGUUUUCUACAGUGGAAAUUCAUCCGAGAGAUGUCUAUCUGACCACCGAUGUUACGGAUCGAUUGAGACUAGAACGUCCUUUUUCCAGUCACUCAACCAAAACAUUCGCCCGGGGACCAACUUCAGACUAUGUUAAAAAGGUACUUGAUCAGCUGCUACUUGGGAGGAACACAUUUGGACCACCGUCAGACGAGG
Anopheles coluzzii is the source of this 1979-nucleotide long non-coding RNA. RefSeq lists it as uncharacterized. The transcript is spliced from 3 exons. The record is from RefSeq and is a predicted model, not a curated record. Lineage: Eukaryota; Metazoa; Arthropoda; Insecta; Diptera; Culicidae.